Tachyglossus aculeatus (Australian echidna) is the source of this 454-nucleotide long non-coding RNA. RefSeq lists it as uncharacterized. The transcript has 5 exons. The record is from RefSeq and is a predicted model, not a curated record. Lineage: Eukaryota; Metazoa; Chordata; Mammalia; Monotremata; Tachyglossidae.
AAAUAAUGAAUAAUGGAAAUAAUGAAAUCCACAUGCUAGAUUUGUGAUUCCGCAGCCUCCACUGGAAAAUCGAAUUCUGCUAAUCUUCAAGAGCGGCUUGUCAGCCUGAGAGAACCAAUGAGACCACCAACUUCAUCCAUUCCACCAGCCCUGGGUCCAAAUAUCGAAGCACCUGAGAGAUUAAGUUUGCUGAGUUUCAAGGACCAGUUCCUACCCAAAUCCGUGUCUCCAGCUCUCCACUCAUACUCUCUGUCCAGGAACUCACAAUCCAUCGGGGAAGCCUGACACCCAAACAUUAGGAAACAGAGGGAGGAGAGAAUGGAAAGAUGGAUAUGCACCUGACCAAAUACUUCACUGAUGGCUGCUCUUCUGGGAACCUGAGACAAUUAGAGCCCAAUCCCAACUCUCAGAUUUUCCUGCCUGCCUAUUCUGUGGAGCAUCAAUUUUUGACUGG